CGGCACGGGUGAGUAACACGUAUCCAACCUGCCGUCUACUCUUGGACAGCCUUCUGAAAGGAAGAUUAAUACAAGAUGGCAUCAUGAGUUCACAUGUUCACAUGAUUAAAGGUAUUCCGGUAGACGAUGGGGAUGCGUUCCAUUAGAUAGUAGGCGGGGUAACGGCCCACCUAGUCUUCGAUGGAUAGGGGUUCUGAGAGGAAGGUCCCCCACAUUGGACUGAGACACGGCCAA
This 234-nucleotide ribosomal RNA is filed under the name uncultured bacterium. RNAcentral's name for it is "partial 16S ribosomal RNA". It matches the Rfam family "Bacterial small subunit ribosomal RNA", at positions 100 to 334 of the family's 1533-position model. The record is from RNAcentral.